AGAAGUUGUCAGUCUUGAACUUUUUCCAUCUCUCUGUGUAAGAGCGAAAAAAAUUAUUGUUAGCCCGACGGAGAGAAACAAGAUCAUAUUGGGCCACCUUCUUGGAAACAGGGUUUUCAUCAAAGUGGUGGAAGAAGGGGUUCUUGGAAGUUGAACCCACAUCUCCCCGGUACUCAUACAAGUACUGUGAGAACACGAAGGUUAUCCAAUACCUCUUUCUCAAAAAACAGUCAAC
Molecule: long non-coding RNA, 235 nt
Filed under: Lathyrus oleraceus (garden pea)
Lineage: Eukaryota; Viridiplantae; Streptophyta; Magnoliopsida; Fabales; Fabaceae
Description: Pisum sativum (pea) long non-coding RNA (PSAT_LNC003692)
Source: RNAcentral